RNAcentral lists this ribosomal RNA (215 nucleotides) under Lactobacillus acidophilus. RNAcentral's name for it is "partial 16S ribosomal RNA". It matches the Rfam family "Bacterial small subunit ribosomal RNA", at positions 99 to 307 of the family's 1533-position model. The record is from RNAcentral. Lineage: Bacteria; Bacillati; Bacillota; Bacilli; Lactobacillales; Lactobacillaceae.
CGGAUGGGUGAGUAACACGUGGGCAAUCUGCCCUAAAGACUGGGAUACCACUUGGAAACAGGUGCUAAUACCGGAUAACAACAUGAAUCGCAUGAUUCAAGUUUGAAAGGCGGCGCAAGCUGUCACUUUAGGAUGAGCCCGCGGCGCAUUAGCUAGUUGGUGGGGUAAAGGCCUACCAAGGCAAUGAUGCGUAGCCGAGUUGAGAGACUGAUCGG